UACGUAGGGUGCGAGCGUUAAUCGGAAUUACUGGGCGUAAAGGGUGCGUAGGCGGUUCGUUAAGUCUGUUGUGAAAUCCCCGGGCUCAACCUGGGAAUGGCAAUGGAUACUGGCGGGCUAGAGUGUGGCAGAGGAUGGUGGAAUUCCCGGUGUAGCGGUGAAAUGCGUAGAGAUCGGGAGGAACAUCAGUGGCGAAGGCGGCCAUCUGGGACAACACUGACGCUGAAGCACGAAAGCGUGGGGAGCAAACAGG
RNAcentral lists this ribosomal RNA (253 nucleotides) under uncultured bacterium. RNAcentral describes it as "partial 16S ribosomal RNA". It matches the Rfam family "Bacterial small subunit ribosomal RNA", at positions 524 to 776 of the family's 1533-position model. The record is from RNAcentral.